RNAcentral lists this small RNA (123 nucleotides) under Peptoniphilus harei. Its description in RNAcentral is "Streptococcus sRNA SpR18". It matches the Rfam family "Streptococcus sRNA SpR18". The record is from RNAcentral. RNAcentral also lists the same sequence under 1 other name. Lineage: Bacteria; Bacillati; Bacillota; Tissierellia; Tissierellales; Peptoniphilaceae.
UCAACGGUUAUAGAAGAUAAAAAGCUGUAACUGGGAUUAAAAUGGAAACAUUUGUUAAAAAGAAUAAAUCGAAUAAUAGUUCCAAGUGGUUUACAUUUGGGCAAAAAAAUUAGAUCAUAACUU